Molecule: long non-coding RNA, 229 nt
Filed under: Sorghum bicolor (sorghum)
Lineage: Eukaryota; Viridiplantae; Streptophyta; Magnoliopsida; Poales; Poaceae
Description: long non-coding RNA (SBIC_LNC004737)
Source: RNAcentral
CCAUGUGGGUUUAACGGCCACUUAGCUUUUUUGACAUGUGGUGCAUCAAGCCACAAACCGCUCCACAUCUCGUCUCAUCUUAGGCCAAAAGAAAUAUGUGGACAACACCUCCUCUAUCUUCUUGGUAUCAAAAUAUCCCAUCAAUUGCUUCCUGCAAAAAAAAGAUGAACGAAACCAACUAGAAUGCACAGGCGGUUAGCUCUAAACAAAAAACCCUCAUGCAGCACAU